Molecule: long non-coding RNA, 210 nt
Filed under: Homo sapiens (human)
Lineage: Eukaryota; Metazoa; Chordata; Mammalia; Primates; Hominidae
Description: non-protein coding lnc-CTTNBP2-4:1
Source: RNAcentral
AAAGGCCUGUGAAAAAAAUGCUGACAUGUUGGAGGAGAUGUAGCAGGACUCAGUGGACUCGGCUACUUAGGCACUGGAGAAGUAAAAUAUAGAGAGGUCGUUAAUACCCAUAAGCACUGCUUAUGAGAAGGACCUUCAGUGGUUAUGAGACAUGUAAAACAUAGGUCUUUAUUUCUUUCUACCUGGCCUAAAUGAGCAUGCUUUUGUUCA